CCCAGACUCCUACGGGAGGCAGCAGUGGGGAAUCUUCCGCAAUGGGCGCAAGCCUGACGGAGCAAUGCCGCGUGAACGAAGAAGGUCUUCGGAUUGUAAAGUUCUGUCCUUAUCGAAGAGAGGGUAUAGAGUGAAAAAUGAUAUACUAGGACGGUAGAUGAGGAGGAAGCCCCGGCUAACUACGUGCCAGCAACCGCGGUAAUACGUAGGGGGCAAGCGUUAUCCGGAUUUACUGGGUGUAAAGGGAGCGUAGACGGCAUAGCAAGUCUGAAGUGAAAGCCCGUGGCUCAACCGCGGAACUGCUUUGGAAACUGUUAAGCUGGAGUACUGGAGAGGCAAGCGGAAUUCCUAGUGUAGCGGUGAAAUGCGUAGAUAUUAGGAGGAACACCAGUGGCGAAGGCGGCUUGCUGGACAGAGACUGACGUUGAGGCUCGAAAGCGUGGGGAGCAAACAGGAUUAGAUACCCUAGUAC
RNAcentral lists this ribosomal RNA (472 nucleotides) under uncultured bacterium. RNAcentral describes it as "partial 16S ribosomal RNA". It matches the Rfam family "Bacterial small subunit ribosomal RNA", at positions 330 to 793 of the family's 1533-position model. The record is from RNAcentral.